UUUCCUUGUCGGGAUUUAUCCGUAUAUAAUUAUAACAACACAUAAGUUUGGUUGCUUCUCAAAUUGAUUUUUUUUUUCUUUUUUGUUGUUGUUCUGUCCAAAGAUUGUUAAAAGAUCUAUGUGAUUGCCGCCUAGAUUUCAACGUCGGCCAAAUUUUUAUCACAUGUAUUCAUGACGACUAUAGCAAUUUUAUUUGUUGGCUAUAUAUUUCUAUUAUCAUCAGUUUUGAUCUAUUAGAUCCGAAUUAAGGACAUCUUAUAUGUGACUAGUUUUUUGUUUACUAUAUAUAUACUGUACUAUGAAAAGUCAUUUACUUAAUGAUAUGGACGACGUGUGGCUAGUGUUAUAGAUGUUACUUUUUGUCUGGUUUAAUUUUACAAGAUUAAAAAAAAAACAAAAAAAAAUUGGUUUGAGACAGUAUUAAUUGGUGAUCAUGGGACUUGAUUAGCUGUGAUGUUCCGUCUAAUUAUACGUACCAUUCCAUGACCAUUAACGUCUGCUUUGGAUCUGGUUCUGGUUCUUG
This 523-nucleotide long non-coding RNA is filed under the name Capsella rubella. RNAcentral describes it as "long non-coding RNA (CRUB_LNC001011)". Lineage: Eukaryota; Viridiplantae; Streptophyta; Magnoliopsida; Brassicales; Brassicaceae. The record is from RNAcentral.